Molecule: ribosomal RNA, 303 nt
Filed under: uncultured bacterium
Lineage: Bacteria
Description: partial 16S ribosomal RNA
Rfam family: Bacterial small subunit ribosomal RNA
Source: RNAcentral
AGCAGUCGCCACGGGAAAACGGAGGGAGCUAGCGUUGUUCGGAAUUACUGGGCGUAAAGCGCGCGUAGGCGGUUACUCAAGUCAGAGGUGAAAGCCCGGGGCUCAACCCCGGAACUGCCUUUGAAACUAGGUGACUAGAAUCUUGGAGAGGUCAGUGGAAUUCCGAGUGUAGAGGUGAAAUUCGUAGAUAUUCGGAAGAACACCAGUGGCGAAGGCGACUGACUGGACAAGUAUUGACGCUGAGGUGCGAAAGCGUGGGGAGCAAACAGGAUUAGAGACCCCGGUAGUCCCUGUCUCUUACAC